GGUUUAGAUCAAUUGUUAAUAGAUGUUAGAAAAAAAGAGAUUAAGAAAAAUAAACAAAAUGGAUAUUUGUCAUUGUUGGAAAAAAUGUAGCAAUACUAAAUUAAAGUAGAUGAGAAGAUUGCAGGUAGAAGACUCAGAGUGUGAAUUCAAACUAGUAUUUAAGUUCAAUCCCGCCCCACUAAUUAUUUUAUAUCAGAUGUAAUUUGGAC
This 209-nucleotide long non-coding RNA is filed under the name Lathyrus oleraceus (garden pea). RNAcentral's name for it is "Pisum sativum (pea) long non-coding RNA (PSAT_LNC023504)". The record is from RNAcentral. Lineage: Eukaryota; Viridiplantae; Streptophyta; Magnoliopsida; Fabales; Fabaceae.